GCAUUGGUGGCCGAGUGGUUAAGGCGUAGGUCUCCCGAUCCUAUGGUCUAAAUGACCGCGCGGGUUCGAAUCCCGUCCAAUGCA
Caenorhabditis japonica is the source of this 84-nucleotide non-coding RNA. The record is from Rfam. Lineage: Eukaryota; Metazoa; Nematoda; Chromadorea; Rhabditida; Rhabditidae.